GUUUGCUGAAGAGUCCCAAACUAGGAUGAAACAGCUGUCCAGUAC
Molecule: non-coding RNA, 45 nt
Filed under: Trichobilharzia regenti
Lineage: Eukaryota; Metazoa; Platyhelminthes; Trematoda; Strigeidida; Schistosomatidae
Source: RNAcentral